This 826-nucleotide ribosomal RNA is filed under the name uncultured bacterium. RNAcentral describes it as "bacterial SSU rRNA". It matches the Rfam family "Bacterial small subunit ribosomal RNA", at positions 43 to 859 of the family's 1533-position model. The record is from RNAcentral.
UAGCCCUAACCCCUUCAACUCGAGGGCCACCAAGGGCGGAUUAGCAAUCCUUGCCUGGUGGCGCCCGGCGGAAUGGUGAUUAACACGUAGCCACCCUGCCUACACAAGGGCUUAACUCUGGGAAAUCGGUGCUAUUUCCUUAUAGCACAGGGGCCCCGCAUGGGGAUAUUUGUAAAGAUUAAUCGGUUGUAGAUGGGCAUGCGUUCCAUUAGCUAGUUGUUGAGGUAAUGGCUCACCAAGGCAACGAUGGAUAGGGGAACUGAGAGGUUUAUCCCCCACACUGGUACUGAGACACGGACCAGACUCCUACGGGAGGCAGCAGUGAGGAAUAUUGGUCAAUGGAGGCAACUCUGAACCAGCCACGUCGCGUGAAGGAAGACGGCCCUACGGGUUGUAAACUUCUUUUAUAAGGGAAUAAAGUGAGUCACGCGUGAUUUUUUGCAUGUACCUUACGAAUAAGGAUCGGCUAACUCCGUGCCAGCAGCCGCGGUAAUACGGAGGAUCCGAGCGUUAUCCGGAUUUAUUGGGUUUAAAGGGUGCGCAGGCGGGAGACUCAGUCGGUGGUGAAAUCUUGCAGCUCAACUGUAAGCGUGCCAUUGAUACUGGUUUUCUUGAGUGUGGAUGAAGUAGGCGGAAUUUGUGGUGUAGCGGUGAAAUGCAUAGAUAUCACGAGGAACUCCGAUUGCGUAGGCAGCUUACUAAACCAUAACUGACGCUCAUGCACGAAGGCGUGGGGAUCAAACAGGAUUAGAUACCCUGGUAGUCCACGCGGUAAACGAUGAUUACUGGCUGUUUGCGAUACACAGUAAGCGGCCCAGCGAAAGCG